AAAUGGCACGUGAGCAAAGGAUAUCAAGAAGCUUUUGGAUGUUGGGAAGCUUGGAGCUGAUGCUUCAAAUAAGCUGAUGGUUGUCUUUUGGAGAUGUUUCUAUGUUUAAUGCUUUAAAGUCUUUUGGCUGUACUGGACUAUUUAAACUUUGAACUAUGCUGUGAUGGUUGAACUGAUGCUGGACGGUUAAGGGUUUAUGUCAGAGGCAACUUUAUAACUAAUGUGUGCCUGUUAUGUUGGACUGUUAAGGGUUAUGUUGGAGGCAAUUUUAUAACUAAUGUGUGUCUGUUAUGUUGGAUUGUUAACUGUUAUGUUGGAGGCAACAUUAUAGCUAACGUGUGCCUGUUAUGUUGGGCAGAUUCAAUUUUCUUAAUCCCUAGAGCUUAUUUGCUAAAGUUUAUAAGAUCUCUCCUGAUGGUUGUUGUGCUGAUAUGUUUUGCUCUAUUUUAUUUAAAGUUUUGUUCAAAUUUCGGCCGAAUUUCGGCCAAAUUUCGGUUAAAUUUUGGCCAAAUUUUCAAAUUUUGAUUUUGCAAUUUCGUCCGAGAUUUUGCUGAAUUUUUUGAAAUUCCCGAAAUUCGGCCAUUUCGGCCAAGGACGAAAAAAAACACAAACCGAAAAGGUAAAAAAUUAUAGUCCAUAUUAUUAUGGACUUUUCACUUGAUAAUAAGCCCGGACGACAUAAACCGAAUAACAUGGCCGCUGGACAAUCUUAAGCCACGAAGAACUGACCCUUUAUUACCCACAUUCGCAAACGUUUAAGAUACCAACAUGCGAUGCGUGUGUAAUGCACCCAUGAUGAUCAGUUAUAAGCAACUCUUGGGGACGAACCCGACCUUGCCUCCUCGCAGGUCGUAAACCACCUCCGUCGUCGCCUGAGCCAAGGAGCCGAUAACCGUGAUGCCCCGUGCGUGCGCCGGCACCGGCGCGUACGCGAGGCACCCCACGGAGAAGAUGUUACCGCGGUCCUUGAAGUACAUCGUCUGCUGGACGCCGGGCUCCAGGCCCGCACCGCCCUCGAAGGUGAGCUUGACCGCCGGCACCCCGACGCUGCUCUGGCCGGUGAAAUUGUAGCACGUGUCGAGCUCGCCGUACGGCGGCGCCACAGGGUACUGCCCCAUCCACCCCCUGAACUGAUCGCGGAGGGCCGCGUAGACCUCCGGCUGCAGGUAGGUGAACGUCGUGUGCAGCUCCAUCAGCGCGUCGCCGGCGAGUGCCGGAGGCGGAACCGGGAUGUCCUGCCCGGCGACGCUCACGCCGACGAGCCGGAGGAAGUACAGGUUCGGGUGGGAGGCUUUGCUCUUUAGGGUGGCGUAGCUCACUAUGUUCGGGCGCUUGGCGCCGAAAGAGAGGAAGCCCGCCGAGUAGGGGAAGGCCGAGGGCAGGCAGUAGGAGAAGGCGACCGUGUCCGGCGACAGAACGACCCGCGACGCCAGCGAGUGGGGGUCCCGGCUGAGGUCGAGGACUCCCGACGAGCGGCCCUCCGUGCUGGCGCCGCGCAUCUCCACGCAGACGAACCUGAAGUCGUCCACGGCGACCGACCGCGAGACCGUGAGUGUGUCGGUGACGAAGGUGGCGUUGAGCACGACGGCGCCCUUCUUUGUCAGGGUUGCCGUGCAGCUGGGUCCGGAGCAGUCGCUCAGCGGGCAGUUUCUCGAGCCACACGGGAUCUGGGCGAGGGAAGACGACCGGGACGGGUCGAAGAGGUGCUUCUUGCCGCACCGCCCCCCGGUGCAUGGCUCGCACCGGAGGAGCGUGGCUCCCACGGUGGCCGUGUCGAAUCCCACGGUGAGUCUCUGCACCGGGGUGCCGUAGCCGACGGUGACGUGGUACUCUGAUGCGCCCGGAAGAGACUGGAGUGGGGUUCCGAUCGAGGGGAUCGUCACCCCGGACUUUUUAUAGUCGCCUGAAUCGCCGAAGAGGGCGCGCAGGCGGAGGGCGUCGCCGAUCGAGGGCAUGCUUUGGCCCGAACGGGCACCGGCGCCAGAAGCAGGAGCGCACGGGCUAAGCCGAUGCAUUACCGGCAGCCAUCCUCCAUCUCCUGAAAAAUGACCACAAGUUCAUUAGCAUGAGAGGUAUUGGCUCUGAAUUAAAUUGAUGCAAGACACUUCACCAGAAGGGACGGGCGAGCAGGUCGACGGACUCCUCGGAUCGGAUGAGAGGACAACAAAGUGCUUUCCACCAUUGGAGUAGCUGGUGUGGUAAGAGCUGCCAAGGUGAGCAGCAGCAAGAAUCAGACAGAAAAGCAGAGAGGGAAUGGCGGAAGCCAUUGCUUGUUGUGCUAUGUAAUGGUGGUGCAGUUGCAUGGUACCUCGUAGGAACCUGCCCUAUAUAUAGCCGUGACAUCCAGCUAGGUUGCCAGCGUUUGAAACUGUCAUCUCUCCUCCUACGACGCCCGACGACGGGGAUCAGUCUUUUGUCGUGUGUUCUCCUAUGACGAUCGGCCCAAAGCCAGGUACAUACAAGCGCUAAUGCCUGCGGAAAUAGAUAGGGAUUUACGCCCAUCCUUCCAACAUGGGAGGAGAAUUAAUUAUGCACAGCUAGCUACUAGCCGGAAGAAUCAGCGACCAAGUUAUCCAUAUCAAUAGCUUCAUUGCUAGCUGUUAGAGCAUCUUCAACAGGCGCGCUAUCUUAGCCGUGCGCUAGAAAAAGCUGUUUUUUCUGUGCACGCGGAGUCGAAACGGGCGCUCCAGUAGCCACGCAAUAAUCACGCGCGCGGUAUAAUGGGUUCAGCGCGCGGAGGAAAAUGGCAUCACACGCUGCUUAUUUCGUGCAACGACGACUCGCGCGUGACUUCACCAACCGCCAGACCUCCAGGCGCUGUUUUAGGAUGAACAUCGAGUUGUUCAAACACAUUGCAGAGAAACUGGCGAGCCAUGAUCGGUUUUUUCAGUAGAGGAGGAAUGCCGCCGGAGAACUCGGGCAUAGUACCUUUCAAAAGGUGACAGCCGCUUUGCGUACGUUGGCAUACGGUAUUCCGGCGGGUCUAGUUGAUGAUCACUAGGCCAUAGGUGAGAGUCAAGCCAUCAUGUGUGUCAAGCGUUUCGUAGUCAGAAUUAUGCAAGUGUUUGGUCUGGAAUAUUAGAGAGCUUCCGAUGCUGAAGACACUGCAAGGCUUUUGGAGAUGAACAAAGCACGCAGGUUUCCAAGUAUGCUUGGCUCAAUAGAUUGCAUGCAUAUGGACAAUUCCACGGCAUGAUAUGGACAAUUCCACGGCCAGAAAAAGGGUUCCUCUAUAAUCCUUGAAGCAGUGGCCGAUUAGGAGACUUGAAUUUGGCAUGUGUUUUUUUUGAAUGCCUGGAUCUUUGAAUGACAUCAACGUCCUUAAUCGAUCACCACUCAUGUAUAAGAUUGCAAAUGGUGAAACUACACCGGUGGAGUUUGUAGCAAAUGACCAUACAUAUAACUAUGGCUACUAUUUUACGGAUGACAUCUACCCAAAGUGGCAAACAUUUGUGAAGCCAUUGAAAAAAAGGAAGGUAAGAAAAAUCUUGAUUUCCACAAUGCUCAGGUGGCGGCUAGGAAAGAUGUGGAGAGCGCUUUCAGGAUUUUGCAAGCCUAAUUUGCUAUUGUGAGAAAACCGGCUAGAUUUUGGGAUCAAAAAAUCAUUUGGUACAUCAUGAACGCUUAUGUGAUCAUGCAUAACAUGAUCAUCUGGAAUGAGUGUGGGCAAGAUAUAGACUAUUCUCAGUAUGAGUUAUUGGGACGUCUCGUGCGAGUGCGGAGGAGGGCUGUGAGGGUGGCCCGAUUUAUUGCCUCCUAUAAUUCCAUUCGACGUGCCGAAACGCAUGAUGAUCUUCUGUAGAAUCUAAUCGAGGAGUGGUGGGCAUGGAAUGGGCGACAAAACUAGUUUGUUGUUGUAUGUUUGAUGUUGUAUUGUUGAACUAUUUGUUGUAUUGGAAUAUAAACUAUUUGUUUGAGUUGUAAUAAUAAUUAAACUAUUUAUUGUUGAUUUUUUUUGUGUUUGAUCUUUUUGGUUUAGUGAGAAAUGUAGUUUGUGCUGGGCGCACUGUAAAUUUAGCGCGCCUGCUGGAGCUAUAGUAAGUAAUGUAAACACUCCUACUCGAAUAUGUUCCGGAGUGUUAGACUCUGCCCUAUUUAACCAUGCCCCGAAAAGACUCGAUAUAGAGGUGAAGGACUGCACCGAGUGAAACACGAAUAGUACGCCAUAGCUCAAAACAGGCUCGCGUCCCGUACACCAGAGUAACCUGGCUAGCGGGCAUGUCAGAAAUAAAUGUUGUAUCUGAAAGUGCGUUAUAUCGACUAGAGGGGGGGGGGUGAAUAGGCGAUUUUUAUGAAUUCUUCACCGAGGAAUUUGCUGGUGAGGAAAUUCCUAACUGAAGAACUACUAGCAGCGGAAUAAGUACUCAGAAGUAAACAUAACAGAAUACAAGCAUAGUCAUCAUGGCGAGAUGAAGACAAACAUAGAGUACAGAAAGCAUAAACACAGGAUAACACAAGAAAGAAGACGGACAGACUAAAAAAAUUGAACUGAGGAAAUUGAGAAAGUAUUCAGUCAAAGUCUUCAAACAGAUAUGAACAGGUACACAACAACAGACAUGAGGAAAUGAAAGAGUUGAGGAAAUAGAACCAGGAGGCUUGGUGAAGACAAUGAUUUGGUAGACCAGUUCCAACUGCUGUCUCAGUUGUACAUCUGGUUGGAGCGGCUGAGUAUUUAAACUCGAGGACACCCAGUCCCGGACACACAGUCCUCACCGUAUUAUCCUUGAGCUAAGGUCACACAGACCUUGCCCAAUCACUCGUGGUAAGUCUUCAGGUGACUUUCGAACCUUCACAAACGCGGUCACUCGGGGAUCCACAAUUCCUCUUGGAUGCUCUAGACCUUGACGCCUAACCGUCUGGAAGAAGCACAAUCUUCAAAGGUAACAAGCAUCGGAUCCACGCAGGAUCAAUCUCUUCAGUGAUGCUUAAUCACUUUGGGUUUGUAGGUGUUGGGUUUUGGGUUUUCCUCACUUGAUGAUUUUCGCUCAAAGUCCUCGGAGGUUGAGAUGCUCUCAAUUGACAAGUGUCAGUUUCUCUUGGAGCAGCCAACCAGCUAGUGGUUGUAGGGGCGGCUAUUUAUAGCCUCGGGAGCAGCCCGACAUGAUAAGACAUAAAUGCCCUUGUCUGAUAUGACCGUUAGGUGGGUAGAUAUUUUGGGACAGCUGGCGCAUAGCACAACAACGGUCGGAAUUUUGGCUAUCAAAGUCCUCAGGGCUAUCAUGUUCCUCACUAUGUAGGCAAUUCACACUGGUGAAUUCCUAACUCCUCAGUCAGAACAAAUUCCUCAGAGACUAGAAGAACUUCGUCUCUCUCACUGAAGAAUAUGACUGAACUGUAUGAGAUUUCCAAUGGCUUCACUCGAAGGGAUUGGUAGGUGUAGGAUUUUGAGUUGAGCAUCACAUGGAAAUUUUUCCUUAGUAUUUCGUCAACCCCCUUUAACAGUACGGUUUUUCCUAUGACUCGAGAAAUAGAAAAUGAAACUACGAAGACAAAAGUCUUCACGCUUCAUAUUCCUCGGAUGAAUACCAAGUCUUCAAGGUCACACCAAUUUCUUCACUUUCAAAGUCUUCAGAUAUCCAAAGUCUUCAGACGAAGAACUUCAUUUUUAGGGGUCGACUUUCUCUGUAAAUAUCAAACUCCUCAUAGACUUAUAGACUUGUGUACAGUCACAAACGCAUCAGUCCCUUAACCUAUAAGUCUUCAAUACACCAAAAUCACUAAGGGGCACUAGAUGCACUUACAAUCUCCCCCUUUUUGGUGAUUGAUGACAAUAUAGGUUAAGUUUUCAACGGGGAUAAACAUAUGAAGUGUAAAUACUGAUAUUGAGGAAUUUGAUUGCAAGAUAUAGAAGAACUCCCCCUGAAGAUGUGCAUAGUGAGGAAUUUGCUUUUGAAGCGAUGCACACUUAAAGAGUAUAAUCAUGGAGAUCUCCCCCUAUAUCUUGUAAUUCAUACACGCAUUUGAUAUAUAAUGUGAAGAAUUUGAAAUGCAUGAUGAAACAUGGUGACUGAUGUAAUUCAGCAUGCGUGCAUUAACAUUAAUGAGGAAUAAGCAUGCAGAAGAACACAACAAAAGUAUCAGGUCACCAUAGAGUUUAAGAUUACAACUCGAUCCAGCAAAGUCAUCAGAAGAACGAGAGUUGUAACUUAGCAAACAAACGCCCAUAUAAGAUAGACCCGCUUGAAGACUAACUCAAAUUUCUCCCUCUUUGUCAUCGAAUGACCAAAAGGGUUGAAACUGAGGACUAACGCCCCUGAAGAAUAUCAAGAAGAUGGAGGAGCGCCAGCGUGGUCAGGGUCUUGAGUCGAUGUAGGGCCUGCCGCAGUGUCGUCCAAGUCUUCAUGCUCGUCUGUGGCGCGUGAUGAAGAAUAUGAGCUAGCCACCAAGGAAGGAACCUUGACCCUCUUGAAUUUCUUCGGAGGAGGAGCAGACCAGUCAAAGUCUUCCUUGGAGCCCAUUUGUUUCAGAUCUUCUUCACCAUAUAGAUGUGACAGAAUAGCCCAGGUGCGAUCAAACACUUCAUGGAGGUAGUAGUGGUUUUUCUUCACUGCAUUAUGUGUGGAAGUCAUGUUGUGAAGAAUGGAACCAAACUGACGCUUAACCCAUUUGUGGUUGCGAUCCACCUUCUGGUGAAGACUUAUCAGCAGUUCACGAUCAGUCAGCACACGAGGAGUAGUAGCUUGAGGACUUGUCUUGGUAGCAUUGGCAGCAGUAUCAUGAGUGGCAGAGUCAUCAUUGGUGGAGUAAGAUGCAGCUUUGCGGAACUGACCAUCCAAUGGACGAAUGCCUUCAUCGAUCACGGUUGGUGACUUGCCCUUUUCUUCACCUGAAGAAUAUGUCCGUUUGAGGACUUCAAUCGGAGGCAAGUAGCUGCCAUAGUUGAGAGUGUCAGCCUUGUAGUUGAGUGAAGACCUUGUUAUGAGGAAUCUCAUGAUCCAUGGCGCGUAAGGCUUCAGCUCAAACGAAGAAAGUGCAACAUUUGCAAGAGUCCUCAUGAAGAAAUCAUGAUAAUUGUUAGGGAUGCCAUGCAUGAUGUUGAAGAGCAUAUUCUUCAUCAUUCCCACAAUUUCUUCAUCAGAGGAGUCAUGACCUUUGAUUGGACUGAUAGUCUUCGUCAGAAUGCAAUAGACUGUCCUAGGCACAUAGAGCAAUUCCUUCACGAGGAAUUUGGUCCUUGGAGCUUGUCCUGGCUUCAGCGGCUUCAUGAGCACUUGCAUGUAGUGAUCAGUGAGUUCAGGCUCAUCAUACAGACAACGAGCACCGUCAAGUGGAGGACUGAUUGGCAGGGCACGAAGCAAUUCAGUGGCUGGUGCCUUCUAAUAUGUGUUUUCAGUCAUCCAGUCCAACACCCAUGAGUUGACGUCAGCAGCAUCGCCUGUGAUAUGCAAAGUUGCGUAGAACUGAAGAAUAAGCUCUUCGUUCCAAUCAACAAUGUCAGAGCAGAAAUUUAGCAAGCCAGCGUCAUGAAUCAUGCUGAGGACUUGACAGGAGCACGACAUGGAUUCCAUGUCCACAUGAGGAAUAUGCUCAUGAUCGAAGACUUUGUCCUUGUUGAAGAGCACUGAGGAAUAGAAGUUGGCCUGGCUGGCAGUCCAGAAACGCUUCCUUCUAAGACGAGCAUUGUCAUAGGGGUUGAAGUCAGUGAAGAACACGUGCUCGCCGAAGAAAUCAUCAGCCCUGAAUUUUUGCUUCUUAGAGAAGGGAUCCUUUGGCUUGGGCUGAGGAGUGUCAGUCAGUUGCAGCACCACCUCAGGAAUCGCAAUCUCAGGUUCCUCAGGCUGAGGAAUUCCAGGCUCUUCAGCAGCUUCAGGGUUGCCAAUUCUUCAUUGACAAUUUCUUCAGCACUAGCGGCUGGAAUUUCUUCAUGAACACUUGGGGUUGCAUGAGGUUCUUCAGAUCCCAUUUGUACUACAGUGGUAGUAGGGGACUGAGGAAUAGCUUGGAGGGGAGUGAACAUUGGGGAGUUGGGAUGCUGACUGUCCCAAAAUUCAUCAUUGAGGACCGGAGUGAUACAGCCAAUAUCCACAUCCUCCUCUUAAAUUUCUUCAACACCUGCCUCUUCAGCAGUAAACUGAGGCAAAGGUGAGGAAAUGAUUGGGGUUGAAGAGAUCUCAUCCACUUCAAUUUCUUCGUCCAACUGCUCUAAAGAAGCAGCAGAAUGAGGUUCUUCAUCAGAUUCAUUAGGAAUCACAUAGUCUUCACCAAAAGGAACAAGGUCCUUUGAUGGCAUUGAUGAAACUGGAAUGACAUCAAUUGGUUUGUCAAUUGAACUGAUCAGAGUCUUCAUCUUCUUUGGAGUUGUAGAAUUUGAUGAAGCUGAUGCCUUCCUUUUCUUCACAGUUGCACGUUCUGUAGCCUUGGUCUUCUUCGCAUCUGAUGCAGAUGGAAGGAUUGGAGUUGGUGUAGGCGCAGGAGGUGCAGAGGACAUUGGUUCAUGUUCCUCAGGCGCAACUGAUGCAGUUGCCCUGAUUUGUUCACUUUCUUCAGGCGCACCACUAGUGGAUGCCCUGGCAAUAUCUUCAGCGGCUGGAAUGGAGUCAUCAGCCCUGGCACUCUCAUUUUCUUCAGUAGGCUGAGCAGAUGCCUCAGCCUGAGUAACUUCAAUGUGUGCAAGUGGAGCAGCACUUGAAGUGAAUUUCUUUGUCAGAUUGACGAAACGUACCUUGGCGCCCUUCCAGUCAGCAUAAUAGCGAUCAAAUUCAUCGCUCGGUUGCUUGAUUUCAGCUUGCAAGGCAAGAAGCUGAUCAGGGGUGAGAGUGAGGACAUUGUCCUUGAGGUAGCGCUGUUUCUUGUACUACGCUUUCUUCAGACUUCUGCCUUGUUCAAAUUUCCAUUUCUCUUCUUCAAUGAAGGCAGUGAGGACAUGGCUUUGACCAGGAGUGAGGUUCAUCUCUGGCAAAGGCGUGUUGGGGUCCUUGUGUUGGGGAACAUAGUAAUUUCAAAAAAAUUCCUACGUACACGCAAGAUCAUGGUGAUGGCAUAGCAACGAGAGGAUAGAGUAUUGUCCACGUACCCUCGUAGACCGUAAGCGGAAGCGUUAUGACAACGCGGUUGAUGUAGUCGUACGUCUUCACGAUCCGGCCGAUCCAAGUACCGAACGUACGGCACCUCUGAGUUCAGCACACGUUCAGCUCGAUGACGAUCCCCGGACUCUGAUCCAGCAAAGUUUCGGGGAUGAGUUCCGUCAGCACGACGGCGUGGUGACGAUGAUGAUGCUCUACCGGCACAGGGCUUCGCCUAAACUUGGCGACGAUAUGACCGAGGUGGAAUAUGGUGGAGGGGGCACUGCACACGGCUAAGGAACGAUCCAUAGAUCAACUUGUGUGUUCUGGGGUGCCCCCCUGCCCCCGUAUAUAAAGGAGCAAGGGGGAGGCCGGCCGGCCCUUGUGGGCGCGCCAAGGAGGAGGAGUCCUCCUCCUAGUAGGAGUAGGACUCCCCCUUUCCUACUCCUACUAGGAGGGGAAAGGAAGGGGAAGAGGGGGAAGGAAAGAGGGGGGGGGGCGCCGCCCCCCUCCUAGUCCAAUUCGGACCAGAGGGAGAGGGGGCACGCGGCCCACCCUGGCCGCCCCUCUCUCUUUCCACCAAGGCCCAUGUGGCCCAUUAUCUCUCCCCGAGGGGUUCCGGUAACCCUCCGACACUCCGGUUUUCUCUGAAAACGUCCGGAACACUUCCGGUGUCCGAAUAUAGUCGUCCAAUAUAUCAAUCUUUAUGUCUCGACCAUUUUGAGACUCCUCGUCAUGUCCGUGAUCACAUCCGGGACUCCGAACAAACUUCGGUACAUCAAAACUUAUAAACUCAUAAUAAAACUGUCAUCGUAACGUUAAGCGUGCGGACCCUACGGGUUCGAGAACUAUGUAGACAUGACCUAGAACUAUUCUCGGUCAAUAACCAAUAGCGGAACCUGGAUGCCCAUAUUGGUUCCUACAUAUUCUACGAAGAUCUUUAUCGGUCAAACCGCAUAACAACAUACGUUGUUCCCUUUGUCAUCGGUAUGUUACUUGCCCGAGAUUCGAUCGUCGGUAUCCAAUACCUAGUUCAAUCUCGUUACCGGUAAGUCUCUUUACUCGUUACGUAAUGCAUCAUUCCGUAACUAACUCAUUAGCUACAUUGCUUGCAAGGCUUAUAGUGAUGUGCAUUACCGAGAGGGCCCAGAGAUACCUCUCCGACAAUCGGAGUGACAAAACCUAAUCUCUAAAUACGCCAACCCAACAUGUACCUUUGGAGACACCUGUAGUACUCCUUUAUAAUCACCCAGUUACGUUGUGACGUUUGGUAGCACCCAAAGUGUUCCUCCGGUAAAUGGGAGUUGCAUAAUCUCAUAGUUGCAGGAACAUGUAUAAGUCAUGAAGAAAGCAAUAGCAACAUACUAAACGAUCAAGUGCUAAGCUAACGAAUGGGUCAAGUCAAUCACAUCAUUCUUCUAAUGACGUGAUCCCAUUAAUCAAAUGACAACACAUGUCUAUGGUUAGGAAACAUAACCAUCUUUGAUUAAUGAGCUAGUCAAGUAGAGGCAUACUAGUGACACUAUGUUUGUCUAUUUAUUCACACAUGUAUUAUGUUUCCGGUUAAUACAACUCUAGCAUGAAUAAUAAACAUUUAUCAUGAAAUAAGGAAAUAAAUAAUAACUUUAUUAUUGCCUCUAGGGCAUAUUUCCUCCAGUCUCCCACUUGCACUAGAGUCAAUAAUCUAGUUCACAUCGCCAUGUGAUUUAACAUCAAUAUUCAUAUCUGUAUAUGAUUAACACCCAUAGUCCACAUCGUCAUGUGACCAACACCCAAAGGGUUUACUAGAGUUAAUAAUCUAGUUCACAUCGCUUAUGUGAUUAACACCCAAAGAGUACUAAGGUGUGAUCAUGUUUUGCUUGUGAGAGAAGCUUAGUCAACGGGUCUGUCACAUUCAGAGCCGUAUGUAUUUUGCAAAUAUUCUAUGUCUACAAUGCUCUGCACGGAGCUACUCUAGCUAAUUGCUCCCACUUUCAAUAUGUAUCCAGAUUGAGACUUAGAGUCAUCUGGAUCGGUGUAAAAGCUUGCACCAAUGUAACUCUUUACUACGGGCUCUUUUAUCACCUCCAUAAUCGAGAAAUAUUUCCUUAGUCCUCACUAAGGAUAUUCUUAACUGAUGUCCAGUGAUCUACUCUUAGAUCAAAAUUGUAUUCCUUUGUCAAACUCAGAGCAAGGUAUACAAUAGGUCUGGUUCAUAGCAUAGCAUACUUUAUAGAACCUAUGACUGAGGCAUAGGGAAUGACUUUUCAUUCUCUUUCUAUUUUCUGCCAUGGUCGGGUCUUGAGUCUUACUCAAAUUCACACCUUUGCAUCACAGGCAAGAACUCCUUCUUUGACUCUUCCAUUUUGAACUAUUUCAAAAAUUUAUCAAGGUAUGUACUCAUUGAAAAAUCUUAUCAAGCGUCUUGAUCUAUCUAUAUAGAUAUUGAUGCUCAAUGUGUAAGCAGCUUCACUGAGGUCUUGCUUUCAAAAACUCUUAUUCAAGUAUCCUUUCAUGCUAUCCAGAAUUUCUAUAUCAUUUCCAAUCAACAAUAUGUCAUCCACAUAUAAUAUUAGAAAUGCUACAGAGCUCCCACUCACUUUCUUGUAAAUACAGGCUUCUCAAAAAGUCUGUAUAAAACCAUAUGCUUUGAUCAACUCAUCAAAGCGUAUAUUCCAACUCCGAGAGGCUUGCACCAGUCCAUAAAUGGAUCGCUGGAGCUUGUACACUUUGUUAGCACCUUUAGGAUUCACAAAACCUUCUGGUUGCAUCAUAUACAACUCUUCUUUAAUAAAUCCAUUAAGGAAUGCAGUUUUGACAUCCAUUUGCCAGAUUUCAUAAAAUGUGGUAAUUGCUAAUAUGAUUCGGACAGACUUAAGCAUCGACACGAGUGAGAAAAUCUCAUCGUAUUCAACACCUUGAACUUGUCAAAAACCUUUUUGCGACAAGUCGAGAUUAGUGGAUAGUAACACUACUAUCAGUGUCCAUCUUCCUCUUGAAGAUCCAUUUAUUUAACAUGGCUUGCUGAUCAUCGAGCAAGUCAAUCAAAGUCCAUACUUUGUUCUCAUACAUGGAUCAUAUCUCAGAUUUUAUGGCCUCAAGCCAUUUCAUGGAAUCUGGGCUCAUCAUCGCUUCCUCAUAGUUCGUAGGUUUAUCAUGGUCUAGUAACAUGACUUUCAGAACAGGAUUACCGUACCACUCUGGUGCGGACCGUACUCUGGAAGACCUACGAGGUUCUGUAGUAACUUGAUCUGAAGUUUCAUGAUCAUCAUCAUUAGCUUACUCACUAAUUGGUGCAGGAAUCACUGGAACUGAUUUCAGUGAUGAACUAUUUUCCAAUUCAGGAGAAGGUACAGUUACCUCAUCAAGUUCUACUUUUCCUUCCACUCACUUCUUUCGAGAGAAACUCCUUCUCUAGAAAGGAUCCAUUUUUAGCAACGAAUAUCUUGCCUUCGGAUCUGUGAUAGAAGGUGUACCCAACAAUUUCCUUUGGGUAUUCUAUGAAGACGCACUUCUCUGAUUUGGGUUUGAGCUUAUCAGGUUGAAAACCUUUUUCAUAUAAGCAUCACAACUCCAAACUUUAAGAAACGACAGCUUAGGUUUACUGCUAAACCAUAGUUCAUACGGUGUUGUCUCAACGGAUUUAGAUGGUGCCCUAUUUAAAUGUGAAUGCAGCUGUCUCUAAUGCAUAACCCCAAAACGAUAGUGGUAAACCGAUAAGAGACAUCAUAGAUCGCACCAUAUCUAGUAAAGUACGAUUACAACGUUCGAACACACCAUUACAUUAUGAUGUUCCAGGUGGCGUGAUCUGUGAAACUAUUCCACAUUGUUUUAAUUGAAGACCAAACUCGUAACUCAAAUAUUCGUCUCCGCGAUCAGAUCACAGAAACUUUAUUUUCUUGUUAUGAUGAUUUUUCCACUUCACUCUGAAAUUCUUUGAACUUUUCAAAUGUUUCAGACUUGUGCUUCAUUAAGUAGAUAUACUCAUAUCUUCCCAAUUCAUCUUGUGAAGGUCAGAAAAUAAUGAUACCCGCCACGAGCAUCAACAUUCAUUGGACCGCAUACAUCAGUAUGUAUUAUUUCCAAUAAGUCACUAGCUCGUUCCAUUGUUCCGAAGAACGGAGUUUUAGUCAUCUUGCCCAAAAGGCAUGGUUCGCAAGCAUCAAAUGAUUCACAACCAAGAGAUUCCAAAAAUCCAUCUUUAUGGAGUUUCUUCAUGCACUUUACACCGAUAUGACCCAAACGGCAGUGCCACAAAUAAGUUGCACUAUCAUUAUCAACUUUGCAUCUUUUGGCAUCAAUAUUAUGAAUAUGUGUAUCACUACGAUCGAGAUCCAACAAACUAUUUUCAUUGGGUAUAUGACCAUCAAAGGUUUUAUUCAUUUAAACAGAACAACAAUUAUUCUCUGAUUUUAAAUGAAUAACCGUAUUGCAAUAAACAUGAUCAAAUCAUAUUCAUGCUCAACGCAAACACCAAAUAACAUUUAUUUAGGUUCAACACUAAUCCCGAAAGUAUAGGGAGUGUGGAUGAUGAUCAUAACAAUCUUGGAACCACUUCCAACACACAUCGUCACUUCACCCUCAACUAGUUUCUGUUUAUUCUGUAACUCCUGUUUCGAGUUACUAAUCUUAGAAACCGAACAAGUAUCAAAUACUCAGGGGUUACUAUAAACACUAGUAAGGUACACAUCAAUAACAUGUAUAUCAAAUAUACCCUUGUUCACUUUGCCAUCCUUCUUAUCCACCAAAUAUUCAAGGUAUUUCCGUUUCCAGUGACCAUUUCUUUUGCAGUGUAAGCACUCAGUUUCAGGCUUUGGUCCAUCUUUGGUCUUCUUCACGGGAGUGACAACUUGUUUGCCAUUCUACUUGAAGUUUCCCUUUCUUUCCCUUUGCCCUUUUCUUGGAACUAGUGAUCUUUGUCAAUCAUCAACUCUUGAUGCUCUUUUUUGAUUUCUACCUUCGUCGAUUUCAACAUCACGAAGAGCUCGGGAAUCGUUAACGUCAUCCCUUGCAUACUAUAGUUCAUCAUUAAGUUCUAGUAACUUAGUGAUGGUGACUAGAGAAUUCUGUCAAUCACUAUCUUAUCUGGAAGAUUAACUCCCACUUGAUUCAAGUGAUUGAAGUACCCAGAUAAUCUGAGCACAUGCUCACUAGUUGAGCGAUUCUCCUCCAUCUUUUAGCUAUAGAACUUGUUGGAGACUUCAUAUCUCUCAACUCGCGUAUUUGCUUGAAAUAUUAACUUCAAUACCUGGAACAUCUCAUAUGGUCCAUGACGUUCAAAACAUUUUUGAAGUCCCGAUUCUAAGCCAUAAAGCAUGGUGCACAAAACUAUCAAGUAGUCAUCAUAUUGAGCAAGCCAAACAUUCAUAACGUCUGCAUCUGCUCCUGCAAUAGGUCUUUCACCUAGCGGUGCAUUAAGGACAUAAUUCUUCUGUGCAGCAAUGAGAAUAAACCUCAGAUCACGGAUCCAAUCCGCAUCAUUGCUACUAACAUCUUUCAAUACAAUUUUCUCUAGGAACAUAUAAAAAUAAACAUAUGAAAGCAACAACGCAAGCUAUUGAUCUACAACAUAAUUUGCAAAAUACUACCAGGACUAAGUUCAUGAUAAAUUAAAGUUCAAUUAAUCAUAUUACUUAAGAACUCCCACUUAGAAAGACAUCUCUCUAAUCCUCUAAGUGAUUACGUGAUCCAUAUCAACUACACCAUGUCCGAUCAUCACGUGAGAUGGAGUAGUUUCAACGGUGAACAUCAAUAUGUUGAUCAUAUCUACUAUAUGAUUCACGCUCGACCUUUCGGUCUCCGUGUUCCGAGGCCAUAUCUGCAUAUGCUAGGCUCGUCAAGUUUAACCUGAGUAUUCUGCGUGUGCAAAACUGGCUUGCACCCGUUGUAGAUGGACGUAGAGCUUAUCACACCCGACCAUCACGUGGUGUCUGGGCACGACGAACUUUGGCAACGGUGCAUACUCAGGGAGAACACUUCUUGAUAAUUUUUAGUGAGAGAUCAUCUUAAAAUGCUACCCUCAAUCAAAGCAAGAUAAGAUGCAUAAAGGAUAAACAUCACAUGCAAUCAAUAUAAGUGAUAUGAUAUGGCCAUCAUCAUCUUGUGCUUGUAAUCUCCAUCUCCGAAGCACCGUCGUGAUCACCAUCGUCACCGGCGCGACACCUUGAUCUCCAUCAUAGCAUCGUUGUCGUUUACACCAUCUAUUGCUUCUACGACUAUCGCUACCACUUAGUGAUAAAGUAAAGCAAUUACAGGGCGUUUGCAUUUCAUACAAUAAAGCGACAACCAUAUGGCUCCUGCCAGUUGCCGAUAACUUCGGUUACAAAACAUGAUCAUAUCAUACAAUAAAAUAUAGCAUCACGUCUUGACCAUAUCACAUCACAACAUGCCCUGCAAAAACAAGUUAGACGUCCUCUACUUUGUUGUUGCAAGUUUUACGUGGCUGCUACGGGCUUAGCAAGAACCGUUCUUACCUACGCAUCAAAACCACAACGAUAGUUCAUCAAGUUAGUGCUAUUUUAACCUUCGCAAGGACCGGGCGUAGCCACACUCGAUUCAGCUAAAGUGAGAGAGACAGACACCCGCCAGCCACCUUUAAGCACGAGUGCUCGUAACGGUGAAACCAGUCUCGCGUAAGCGUACGCGUAAUGUCGGUCUGGGCCGCUUCAUCUCACAAUACCGCCGAACCAAAGUAUGGCAUGCUGGUAAGCAGUAUGACUUGUAUCACCCACAACUCACUUGUGUUCUACUCGUGCAUAUGACAUCUACGCAUAAAACCUAGCUCGGAUACCACUGUUGGGGAACAUAGUAAUUUCAAAAAAUUUCCUACGUACACGCAAGAUCAUGGUGAUGGCAUAGCAACGAGAGGAUAGAGUAUUGUCCACGUACCCUCGUAGACCGUAAGCGGAAGCGUUAUGACAACGCGGUUGAUGUACUCAUACGUCUUCACGAUCCGGCCGAUCCAAGUACCGAACGUACGGCACCUCCGAGUUCAGCACACAUUUAGCUUGAUGACGAUCCCCGGACUCCGAUCCAGCAAAGUGUCGGGGAUGAGUUCCGUCAGCACGACUGCGUGGUGACGAUGAUGAUGCUCUACCGGUGCAGGGCUUCGCCUAAACUCCGCGAUGAUAUGACUGAGGUGGAAUAUGGUGGAGGGGGGCACCGCACACGGCUAAGGAACGAUCCGUAGAUCAACUUCUGUGUUCUGGGGUGCCCCCUGCCCCCGUAUAUAAUGGAGCAAGGGGGAGGCCGGCCGGCCCUUGUGGGCGCGCCAAGGAGGAGGAGUCCUCCUCCUAGUAGGAGUAGGACUCCCCCUUUCCUACUCCUACUAGGAGGGAAAAGGAAGGGGGAGAGGGGGAAGGAAAGAGGGGGGGGCGCCCCCCCUCCUAGUCCAAUUCGGACCAGAGGGAGAGGGGGCGUGUGGCCCACCCUGGCCGCCCCUCUCUCUUUCCACCAAGGCCCAUGUGGCCCAUUAUCUCUCCCCGGGGGGUUCCGGUAACCUUCCGGCACUCCGGUUUUCUCCGAAAACGUCCGAAACACUUUUGGUGUCCGAAUAUAGUCGUCCAAUAUAUCAAUCUUUAUGUAUCGACCAUUUCGAGACUCCUCGUCAUGUCCGUGAUCACAUCCGGGACUCCGAACAAACUUCGGUACAUCAAAACUUAUAAACUCAUAAUAAAAGUGUCAUCGUAACAUUAAGCGUGCGGACCCUACGGGUUCGAGAACUAUGUAGACAUGACCUAGAACUAUUCUCGGUCAAUAACCAAUAGUGGAACCUGGAUGCCCAUAUUGGUUCCUACAUAUUCUACGAAGAUCUUUAUCGGUCAAACCGCAUAACAACAUACGUUGUUCCCUUUGUCAUCGGUAUGUUACUUGCCCGGGAUUCGAUCGUCAGUAUCCAAUACCUAGUUCAAUCUCGUUACCGGUAAGUCUCUUUACUCGUUACGUAAUGCAUCAUUCCGUAACUAACUCAUUAGCUACAUUGCUUGCAAGGCUUAUAGUGAUGUGCAUUACCGAGAGGGCCCAGAGAUACCUCUCCGACAAUCGGAGUGACAAAACGUAAUCUCGAAAUACGCCAACCCAACAUGUACCUUUGGAGACACCUGUAGUACUCCUUUAUAAUCACCCAGUUACGUUGUGACGUUUGGUAGCACCCGAAGUGUUCCUCCGGUAAACAGGAGUUGCAUAAUCUCAUAGUUACAGGAACAUGUAUAAGUCAUGAAGAAAGCAAUAGCAACAUACUAAACGAUCAAGUGCUAAGCUAACGGAAUGGGUCAAGUCAAUCACAUCAUUCUUCUAAUGACGUGAUCCCAUUAAUCAAAUGACAACACAUGUCUAUGGUUAGGAAACAUAACCAUCUUUGAUUAAUGAGCUAGUCAAAUAGAGGCAUACUAGUGACACUAUGUUUGUCUAUUUAUUCACACAUGUAUUAUGUUUCCGGUUAAUACAAUUCUAGCAUGAAUAAUAAACAUUUAUCAUGAAAUAAGGAAAUAAAUAAUAACUUUAUUAUUGCCUCUAGGGCAUAUUUCCUUCACCUUGUGCCAUAAGUUAAUGUAAUCAAGGAUCAGCUUGGGAUCCAACAUCAGUGGCACAUUGCUGCCUUUGGUUCUAGCGGCCCUGGCUUGCCUAUUUCUGAUGAUUUCGGCAAGUUCUUCAUCAUCAGCCUCAUCAUCAUCAAAAGGUACAUGGAAGGCUACCUGCUUCUUGUGAGGACUUGGGCGAGUGCCUCGUCCAGCAGUGGCCUUUUUCUUCGGCAGAGAGGUACCAGUUGAGGAAUUUCAAGCAGCAGAGGAGCUUGCAGAUGCUCCAGAGGCAAUAGAGAAGCCUUGAGUCCUUUGGCACGUGGCGAGAUGCACAGGUGCCGAGGAUUUUGUGGGAGCAGCUGAAGACUUUGUCGGAGGAUCUGAGGACUUUGAUGGAGCAGGCUGAGGAGUUUGCCGUGAGGGCCUUAAGGAAUCUGGCCUUGAUGGCAUAGCAGAGGAGCUUGGCCGUGAGGGCAUUGAACGUGAAGCACUGGACUUGUGUGCAGGCUUCUUGGGCAUAGCCUUCUUGGGCUGACUGGCAGAGGCCUCAGCUGAGGCAGCAGUAGCAGCAGAGUCAGCGUUGAAUUUCCUCACUGCUUCCUUUGCUUGCUUGGCCAGUUUGGCUUGGCGUUUUGCCCAUUCGUCAGGAUAAUCCUCACCGUGCUUGAGGCUAGUGGGAUCCGCCAACUGGCUUGGUGCCAAUGGAGAUCUUGGGCAUGGAGGGUUGAGUGCGAAUUUCUUCAUGUACUUGGCAGUUACAUACCUGUACUCCCUCCAUUCCCGUGCCCAUCUCCUUUCAAUCCUCUGGAUGCACCUUGCGCUGAUUUUUGUUCUCCUUACCAAACUUGGCUUCAUCAGGUGUGCAAUAGCCUGCGUAAAUGUCCUUAGGAAUUUCAAAAGCAGUCAUGACCUCAGGCUUCUUUCCUCCCUUCUGUGGCUUCUUACCAUCUGCCAUUUUCUUUAGUUGAGGAAUCUGAACAAUCGAAUUCUCUGAAGAAGUAUGCAACUUUUCUUCGAGGAAUGCUGCAAAUGAGUUAAGUUGAUGAGAACCUAGUGAUUCAGCAGUGGACAUUUGUACCUGUGAAUAGAGUGUAGUUGCGAGGAAUUUGGAGAGGUCAUAUGCGUUCUCAGAGGGUUUUUCAAAAAGGAACAAGUUUGAGGAAUUUGACCAGAUGAGUCUUGAGGAAUUUCACUAAGCGUUCUUUGUCUUAGGUUCCAGAGUUGUAUAGAUUGAAAAAUCCACACAAUUGAGGAAUCUUGAAGAAAAUCAUAGCUUAGAGAAACGAAUCAAGAACAGAUGAUAUGUGAGGUGUUCAUGUGUGUGAAGAAUUGAAGAAUAAACACCUUUGAAGAUUUUCAGAAACACUUGAGAAUCAAAGCGAGCAGUUAAAAGUAACUUUUAAUUACCCGAAGUGAAGAACACGACGAACUGGGAAGAACAGAUGUGAAGUUCGUCAGUUCAGAUCUUCCACGCCCUAACUUGGCAGAGGAAGACGGCUAUGGCGGCGACAGAGGGAAGAUUUCUGCGGCCGACGCGAGUACGACGGUGACGAGGUCGAGGCAGUGAAGCUCUUCCUCACCGGCGACGAUGGAGUAGCGGCGGCGCUAGGGUUUGAGAAGCUCGAGCGGGAGAGAGAGGUCGAGCGGAGUAAAGGAAGUGAGGAAGGGGUGAGGGGGUGAGGGGGUAUUUAUAGUCGCAGUGAAAAACUGUUUGCCCAAAGAUUUAGGACGAACGUGCCCCUGACCCUUCUCAUUCGCAUGACAUGUGUCACCCACAUACUGUGAGGUGGUGAUCGUGUAAGAUCAUGGGUGAAUAGAUAAAUAUAUCGUGGGAUGCGAAACGGUUUGAGCGGCAAAGCCGAAAAUUCAGAUAAGAUAAGUUUUAAAGUUUCGUUCGCAAUUUCUUCAGCUGACAAGGACACAGUGAAGAAUUUGAACGAGUUUCAAAUAGAACGCAUAUGAGGAAUUUGUGAAUAGACUGGGUUGAGUUUAGCAUAGAGGGGGAAAGGGUCCGAUCACAUUCACUUAGCAUAAGAAAUCAACUUUGAAGAAAUAGCAAUAAGUGAAUGCUGUAGAGGACUUAAAACUCAUAUAUAUAUAUAUAUAUAUAUAUAUAUAUAUAUAUAUAUAUAUAUAUAUAUAUAUAUUAGAAUGAAGAACAACACUGGGAAGAGUGAAGACAAUGCAAAGUUGACGAAUUUGAAAAACUGAGGAAUUUCAAAAACGAAGAAAAACUCAAACUGAAGAUUUUUCAACUUCGGUUGGUGGCGUAACCCACCGUAUAAGAAAGCUAAUUUCAGACACCGCGUACAACUGUCGUAGGGCUCUGAGAAUCAAUUUCCUCAUUAAUUUCUUCACACUUAGAGGGUUAGUCUUCAUUGACUGAAGAAAAAUGUUACUUCGUGUGUUGCGCAUCUAAGUCAUCAAGUCAGCAUAAGUGUUAGGAUGUGUGUCCAUUUCAGAGAACAUUCGAAGAUUCUAGGAUAUUUAGCUCACACCGCAACUUGCUAAAUCUCUCCUCAUCCAAGUGUUGGUGUGUGAGCUAAGUAUCGAAGAAUAUGCUUCACAGCCUUAUGGUGUGAUUCGUUCGGUGUAGCUUGAAAUCGGGCACACAUGCAAACACUAAGCAUAAUAUCCGGCCUAGAUGCACAUAGGUACAAUAAAGAGCCAAUCAUGGAGCGGUAUACCUUUUGAUCAAGUCUUUACCAUUUUCAUAAGUGCAUAGAUGGCCAUUUGUGGGCAUUGGAAUUUUGACCCCUUUGCAAUCUUGCAUGCCGAAUUUCCUCAAUACGUCCUUGAGGUAUUUCUCCUGAGAUAUGAAUAUUCCAUUGCACUGUUGAUGAAUUUGAAGACCUAAGAAGAAUUUCAACUCUCCCAUCAUAGACAUUUGAUAUUCUUCACUCAUCAUAUAGGCAAAUUCAUCACUAUAUCGUUGGUCAGUACAGCCGAAAAUGUAUCAUCAACAUAUAUUUGGCACACAAACAAUUCACCAUCAUAAGACUUAGCGAAAAGAGUAGGGUCGAGUGAACCGGGUUUGAAGCCAUUCUUCACGAAGAAUUCCUUCAAGGUAUCAUACCAUGCCCGAGGGGCUUGCUUGAGGCCAUACAGGGCCUUGUUAAGCUUGAAGACUUUGUCGGGAUUCUUUGGAUCUUCAAAACCUGGGGGUUGAGCAACAUAUACUUCUUCCUCAAUCUUACCAUUGAGGAAUGCACUUUUCACAUCCAUUUGUUGUAAGAUAAUAUCAUGAUGGUUAGCGUAAGCAAGUAAUAUGCGAAUAGCCUCAAGUCUAGCAACAGGUGCAAAAGUUUCUUCAAAGUCAACUCCUUCAACCUGUGUGUAGCCUUGAGCUACAAGUCGUGCCUUAUUCCUCACUACAAGACCAUUUUCAUCUUGCUUGUUGCGGUAGAUCCACUUUGUGCCAAUAAUCUUGUGCUUGCGAGGAUCUGGAUGUUUGACCAGUUCCCAGACAUUGUUGAGCUCGAACUGGUGUAAUUAUUCUUGCAUAGCUUGAAUCCACUCAGGCUCCAGAAAUGCUUCAUCUACCUUAGUGGGCUCUGUGAUAGAGACAAAUGCGAAGUGCCCACAAAAGUUAGAUAAAUGUGAAGCUUUUGAGCGUGUGAGAGGACCUGGUGCUUUAAUGUCAUCGAUGAUCUUCUCGAUUUGCACUUCAUUUGCAAUACGAGGAUGAGCGGGUUGACUUCGAGGAAUCUGAUCCGCAUUUUCUUCAUGAGCAUUUUCCUCAGCACCAUUUUCUUCAGGUGCGCCAGCCCGAUGUUCAUCAUGUUCUGGAAUGAAUUCUUCUGCAGAUUCUUCAGUAGGAAUCACAUCCUCAGUGGCUUUGAACUUGAUAGAAUCCUCAGGUGCUUGUUCAUCUAUCACAGAAGGUAGGUGCUCUCUUUGCGAGCCAUUAGUUUCAUCGAACCGCACAUCUACAGUUUCAACAACCUUGUGAAGAACGUUGUUGAAGACUUUGUAGGUGUGCGAGUCCUUUCCGUAACCAAGCAUGAAACCCUCAUGUGCUUUCGGUGCAAACUUAGAAUUCUGAUGAGGAUCUCUAAUCCAGCAUUUAGCACCAAAGACUUUGAAGUAACUUACAUUGGGUUUCUUGUUAGUGAGGAGUUCAUAGGCAGUCUUCUUGAAGAAUUUAUGAAGAUAUACUCUGUUGAUGAUGUGGCAAGCUGUAUCAAUUGCAUCAAUCCAGAACCGACGAGGUGUCUUGUAUUCAUCAAGCAUAGUGCAUGCCAUUUCAGCGAGGGUUCUAUUUUUGCGCUCCACGACGCCAUUCUGUUGAGGAGUAUAAGGAGCAGAUAACUCAUGAGUAAUACCAAGUUCAUCAAGAUAGCCAUCAAGACUGGAAUUCUUGAACUCAGUUCCAUUGUCACAUCUGAUGUGCUUGAUCUUCACACCAACAUUGGUUGAAGCCCUCGAAGAAAAUCGUUUGAAGACUUCCUGCACUUCAUGUUUGUAAGUAACAAUGUGUACCCACGUGUAACGAGAAUAAUCAUCAACAAUAACAAAGCCAUAUAGAGAUGCAUCAUUUGUCACAGCAGAAUAAUGAUUAGGACCGAAAAGAUCCAUGUGAAGCAAUUCAAAUGGUCGAGUGGUAGUCAUGAUAGUCUUCGCUGGAUGCUUGGCCUUUGUCAUCUUCCCAGCUUCACAAGCUCCACAUAAAUGAUCCUUGAGGAAUUUGACAUUCUCAAUGCCAAUGACAUGCUUCUUCUUCGCGAGCGUGUGCAGAUUCCUCAUGCCAGCAUGACCAAGUCGUCGAUGCCAUAGCCAGCCUUCUGAAGCUUUUGCAAGUAAGCACACGACAGGUUGUGGUCCUGUAGAGAAAUCAACAAUGUACAAGUCUCCUCUCCUAAAGCCUUCGAAGACUUUGGAAUUAUCAGCUUCCAUGAUCACAACACAACGAUACUUGCCAAAGACAACAACCAUAUCAAGAUCACAAAGCAUUGAGACAGACAUGAGGUUGUAUCCUAAGGACUCGACAAGCAUGACUUUGUCCAUGUGUAUGUCCUUAGAGAUCGCAACCUUACCUAGACCCAAUACCUGACUUUUGCCUUUGUCAGCGAAGAUGAUAUGCUUCAGAUGUGACGGUGAUAAGGGAGCAUCCAUCAAUAGAUUCUUGUCACCAUUCAUGUGAUUUGUACAUCCACUAUCGAGGACCCACUCAUUUGCUUUGGGUUGAUCAUCCUGCAGAUGAAUUAGUGAAUCUUACAAACUCAUAUACUUCAUCAGUGAAGAAUAUGACAUCAGUAUCAUCAGGUCAAUUUCAUCAAGCAAUGUAAACAGAUAAUCAGUAGGAGGACGUGUGAAAUGAAGGUUCAUUUCAUCAUGAUUAGCCUGCGUCCUAUCAGGCAUUGUUCAGGUCUCCAGCAAAUUCUUCAGUCGUUUUGAGCACGACUGGAGACCUGACCCUGCAUAAGAGAUUAGUUCUUUUUCUUCACCACCCACAUCUGGAGGGGUGGCAAAGAAUUCAUCACUCUGCGAGCAUCAUAUGAGAAAGGUGGCAUGGACGCCAGUCCACUUCGUUUCACAUAAGAUGGGUUAGGGUAAGCAUAUGAAUAAGCAGAGAAAUUCUUCGAGGACUUAUGAACAUAAUGAUUUGAAGAAUAAUGCACAUAUUCAUAGCCCUUAGCUCUACCCUGCGAAACAGAAGGGUUAGCACGAUAAUGAUCAUAUGAGGACUUUGAUCCUUUUGAGGAAUUUGAUCCACGUGAGGAAUUUUGUCCGUAUGAGGACUUGGAUCCAUAUGAAGAAUUUGGUCCAUAUGAAGAAUUUGAUCUGGAGUUCCUUUUCUUCACAGGUGGUGUCAUGAGGACAUUCACCUGAAGGCUUUCAAGGCAACUUUUGGGAACCCAGAUUUUCUUCAUAGGGGAACCAUUCCUGCAGUUAGUCCCAACAUAUCUAGCAAAUACUUCACCAUUCUGAUUUUUGAACAGUUUAUAGUUAGAGUCAAAUGACUCAUCAGAAGAAUGAGGAGAUUCACAUGUAAAGCCAGAUAAGUUGGAUGGAUCAACUGUAGGUCCCUUUGCAGCAACCCAUGAGGUUUUGGGGUACUGCUCAGGCUUCCAAUAUGUUCCAUCAGCAUUGAGUUUCCUCUCAAAGGCAAUACCCUCUUUCCUAGGGUUUCUGUUGAGGAUCUGCUUUUUGAGCACAUCACAAAGAGUCUGAUGCCCUUUGAGGCUUUUGUACAUGCCUGUCAUGUACAAUUCCUUCAGCCCUGCAUCAUCAGUGAUAUUUGCAUUGUCCUCAGAUGAGGAAUUAGUGACAGCAGAGACAUAUGAAGAAUUUGUAGCAUUAGAAGCAUUUGAACAUUCAGGUGAAGAAUUAGCAGUUUCACGUUCAAUGCACUUCAGACAUGGAGGAACAAAUUCUUCCUGUGUAGCGCUAAUUUGUUGAGCAAGUAAUGAAUCGCGCUCCUUCUGAAGAUCUUCAUAAUCCACUCUUAGAUUUUCAAGAUCUUGCUUUCUUUGAAGAAAUUCAGAAGAAAGCUUCUUGUGAUCAGACAAGAGAGUAUUAUGUUGAUCUUGAAGGGCGUCAAACUUGGAAUGAAGUCUCUGAAGACUCUCAGCCAAUGCUUUUGACUGAUUCAUUUCUUCACCCAACAUAUCAUCGCUCUUAUUAAGCAUGUAUUGAACCUUUUCCAAGGCUCUUUGUUGUUUAGUGGAAAGGGAAGCAAGUUUGACAUAGCUGGGGCCAAAUUCAUCACUUGAUUCAUCAUCACUAGAUUCAGAAAGGUAGCAUUCAGUUACCUUGGCACCCUCUGCCAUGAGGCAUGGUGAAGAUGACGACGAUUCAGGUGUGAAGGUCAUCUCUUUGAGAGAAUCCUUGUAAUCCUCAAACCAAGGAUCAUGACGAGUACGAUGACCUUCAUAAACCUCAGAAAGCCGGUCCCAUAUUAGUUUCGCGUGAUUGAGGUGCAUGACGUUCCUGAACUGAUUUCGAGACAGACAGGAGCAGAUGACAUCCUUCGCCGUGAGGUUCAGUAGAGCGUACUUGCGAAUGUCAUCAGCCUCCGCCAUCUUGCAUAGAUCGGUAAGACCAAUCUCAGUGACGGUCCACAGUUCGCUGUCCAUAGCCAUGAGUCGCUUCUUCAUCAUGGCCUUCCACCGAGGAUACUCAUGACCGUCAAAGAUGGGGCAAGAUACGUUCCUCAAUCCUGCAGUCCACAUAACUAAAACUCCAGGCGAUUAAACCAAAAUCACACAGAACAAGAGAGUACCUUCCUCUGAUACCAAUUGAAAGUGCGUUAUAUCGACUAGAGGGGGGUGAAUAGGUGAUUUUUAUGAAUUCUUCACUGAGGAAUUUGCUGGUGAGGAAAUUCCUAACUGAAGAACUACUAGCAGCGGAAUAAGUAUUCAGAAGUAAACAUAACAGAAUACAAGCAUAGUCAUCAUGGCGAGAUGAAGACAAACACAGAGUACAGAAAGCGUAAACACAGGAUAACACAAGAAAGAAGAUGAACAGACUGAAGAAAUUGAACUAAGGAAAUUGAGAAAGUCUUCAGUCAAAGUCUUCAAACAGAUAUGAACAGGCACACAACAACAGACAAGAGGAAAUGAAAGAGUUGAGGAAAUAGAACCAGGAGGCUUGGUGAAGAUAAUGAUUUGCUAGACCAGUUCCAACUGCUGUCUCAGUUGUACAUCUGGUUGGAGCGGCUGAGUAUUUAAACUCGAGGACACCCAGUCCUGGACACACAGUCCUCACCGUAUUCUCCUUGAGCUAAGGUCACACAGACCUCGCCCAAUCACUCGUGGUAACUCUUCAGGUGACUUCCGAACCUUCACAAACUCGGUCACUCGGCGAUCUACAAUUCCUCUUGGAUGCUCUAGACCUUGACGCCUAACCGUCUGGAAGAAGCACAGUCUUCAAAGGUAACAAGCGUCGGAUCCACGCAGGAUCAAUCUCUUCAGUGAUGCUCAAUCACUUUGGGUUUGUAGGUGUUGGGUUUUGGGUUUUCCUCACUUGAUGAUUUUCGCUCAAAGUCCUCGGAGGAUGGGAUGCUCUCAAUUGACAAGUGUCAGUUUCUCUCGGAGCAGCCAACCACUUAGUGGUUGUAGGGGGCGGCUAUUUAUAGCCUCGGGAGCAGCCCGACAUGAUAAGACAUAAAUGCCCUUGUCUGAUAUGACCGUUAGGUGGGUAGAUAUUUUGGGACAGCUGGCGCAUAGCACAGCAACGGUCGGAAUUUUGGCUAUCAAAGUUCUCAGGGCUAUCAUGUUCCUCACUAUGUAGGCAAUUCACACUGGUGAAUUCCUAACUCCUCAGUCAAAACAAAUUCCUCAGAGACUAGAAGAACUUCAUCUCUGUCACUGAAGAAUAUGACUGAACUGUAUGAGAUUUCCAAUGGCUUCACUCGAAGGGAUUGGUAGGUGUAGGAUUUUGAGUUGAGCAUCACAUGGAAAUUUUUCCUUAGUAUUUCCCCGACCCCCUUUAAUAGUACGGUGUUUCCUAUGACUCGAGAAAUAGAAAAUGAAACUAUGAAAACAAAAGUCUUCACGCUUCAUAUUCCUCGGAUGAAUACCAAGUCUUCAAGGUCACACCAAUUUCUUCACUUUCAAAGUCUUCAGAAAGUCUUCAGAUAUCCAAAGUCUUCAGACGAAGAACUUCAUUUUUAGGGGUCGACUUUCUCUGUAAAUAUCAAACUCCACAUAGACUUAUAGGCCUGUGUACACUCACAAAAGCAUCAGUCCCUUAACCUAUAAGUCUUCAAUACACCAAAAUCACUAAGGGGCACUAGAUGCACUUACAGUAUCAUUUCAUCCUGAUUACAAAAACAACAGCAUUUACUCCCCUCUCAACUACAUUUUUCCAAGUUUUAUCUGGUCAAGAUCACUCCCUUAUGCACAAACCACAUAAAAACCUUGAUUUUAAAUGACACCUUUUCCAGAUGUGCUGCGACCUAGGGAUCGGACCGGUGUUUAUCAAGUCUAUGUACAUAUAUUUCACCGAAAAGACUCCAGACACUAAAAGUUGCCAGUGCAAGGUAUCUGGCUCAUCAGAAAGGUUAACUUCCAUCAACCCGCGCACAAGAUGUAGCCAUCUAUCCCAUCGAUCGCCGACCAAAGCCUGCCUAAACUGAAUAUUUAGUGGAACGGAACAGAGAAUUGUACUAACAAGGGUUCCUUUACGUUGUACAAUGUUAUACAAGGUAGGGUACUGUAGUGCCAGAGGCGUCUCCCCCAGCCAAGUAUCCUCCCAAAAACUAGUAGUAUUUCCAUUCCCUACUAUAAACUUGCACCUAUUGAAAAAGGCUGCUUUCGACCUCAUUGACCCUUUCCAAAAAGGUGAGUCACUCGGCUGCGCAGUGACCUGUGCAAGAGUUUUGGAUUGUAGAUACUUGUUACACAAUAACUGUAACCAAACCCCACCCUUCUCGACAUAAAGACUAUAUAACCAUUUACUCAGCAGACACCUAUUCUUUACUUCAAGAUUUUGGAUGCCUAAGCCUCCUUGGUCCUUUGGCCUACAAAUGAUAUCCCAUUUGGCUAAACGGUAUUUUGUUUUUCUCUCGUGGCUUUGCCAAAAGAAGCGAGAUCGAUAGAAGCCCAAUCUCAUGGCUUUUAUUUUGUUUUGUUCUCAUGGCUUGGACGAAUGUCAAAGAAGGAUAAUAGGAACAUAGGCAAGCUUGUGAGUACAUAAUUAACAAGGAUUACUGAUCUCCAUAAGACAUAAGCUUGCCCUUCCAGCAACUUAGUUUCUUCUCAAAUCUAUCUUUCCACUCCUUGUUUGUGAGUUGGCGGUGGUAAAUUUGUAUUCCCAGAUAACUAAAAGGGAGGGACCUCAACUCACACCCGAACAACUACCGUAGUCUUCCUGCUCAUCCUUGGUGCGCCCAAAGUAAAUAAGUUCAUUCUUGUUGAAGUUAAUCUUCAAUCCAGACAGUUGUUCAAAAAGACAUAGGACCAAUUUCAGGUUUCUAGCCUUUGCCAUAUCAUGUUCCAUGAAAAUAACAGUAUCGUCCAUAUAUUGCAGGAUGGACACUCCACCAUCAACAAGAUGAGGAAUGAGCCCACCCACCUGGUCGACCUCCUUGGCUCUAGCAAUAAGAACUGCUAGCAUAUCUGCAACCAUGUUAAAAAGUAUAGGAGACACCGGAUCACCCUGUCUCAAUCCCUUUUGCAUCUGGAAAUAAUGACCUAUGUCAUCAUUAACCUUUAGAAAAAGCACCAGACAUUAACGAUAGGAGACAUCGGCUUCAACCAAGGUGAGUGUUGUCAGGCAAGUUCCUCGCCGGCGAGCGCCACAAACAAUGUCAUCGGAUUCCAACGCCCACACGGUUAUGCCAGGGAAGUUCCUCGCUGCCUUGCAGACAACGGCUUGCACCCUCUUAUCCUAGCAAAUAUGUCGCGAGUUAUACAAGUUGAUGGCCCCAGAAGCAACCUCUCUGGUCGUGCCUAGAAUGUUAAGCAACCAACUAUCAAAGUUAGAUGACCCCGUGGGGGCCUCCACAACGGUGUGUUCCUGUGCCUCGUCCUGACGAUCCUCCUCUCUCCUGGCACGCUCUGUCAAAGGCAACUCCGAACCCAUGACGACGAUCAUCUGGUCUCAGACAUCCUCGUCGGCGGUGGUAUGGCAAUUGACACUCGGCUCUGCCACAAUGACGGUUAUGGAUGUGCGGCGCCAUGGUGGUCAUUUUGGGGUCUAGAGCGAGCCACUAGUUCAAUAUACAAUUGCUGGAAUAACAUACUAGCUAGCCAACAACUUCUUGUGCUUGCGUUAGGGAGUUGGUUCUCUUGACUGAAAACUGAUUACAAUUGAACACUAAAUAGUGUCUGGUUUUUAAACCGAACCAAAUAGCCAGAAUCGGAUUUAGCCUAUAUUUUUUCAGUUAAAACGUUUGGUUAGGUUUCGGUUUUCGGUUUGAAAGUGGCCAACCCCAGAUGGGAGACGUGUCUCGCUGGCACGAGCUGUUCUUUUUGUCGGGGCCAGUGCUAGGCGCCGGCGCACCGGCCCAAAUUUGGGCCGGUCGGCUGCCGAACGUACGAUAGAGCUUUUUUUAACCAUAGGAUACAACCUUUCUCCGUCCCUCAAAAAGUCAAACGCGGAUGAAAAGCAGAUCGAGUGGAAAAAGAUAGCGAACUAGCUCAGCCACACUAGCCGCCGGACUCCGCACGCGCUCGCCGGCCGCCUGCACUUGUCCUCGGUUUCUCGUACUUGCCGGCCACCCGUGCCACCACGCCCGCCAGCCGCGCUCGCCGGUCGCUUGUGCCACGCUCGCAACAAAAACAGACUAUGGUUGUAGCAAAAAUAGAUUACAAUGGUAGCAAAAAUGCUCACCGUCGAUGCUCGCAACAAAAUUACCCCAAGGUAACUAUGAGUCAACGUCCCAAUGCAUCCUUUGAAAAAGUUGGUUCCAGCAAAAAAAACUACGGUGGUAGCAAAAGACGUUUCCAGCAAAAAUAAUCUCAGAAGAACAAAUCUGGAAAAAGGUCAAUUGUAGCAAACAAAAAAGCCAAUUCUAGCAAAAAAAACACUAGUUCCAGCAAAAACACUGCUAGUCGAUUGUAGCAAUAGAAAAAGCCAGUUCCAGCAAAAUUUGAUGAUGGUUCCAGCAAAAAAAUCUCAUCACCAAAUAUAUGUGUCGAUUGUAGCAAAGAAAAGAACUACUUCCAGCAAAAAUCUCUCUCGGAUGCAGCUCCUCGUCGCCGCGGUUGCAGCUCCAUGAACCUGGGGUUGUAAGUCAUGUCGCCGCCGGGAGCAUCAAGUCGUGGCACCUCGUCGCAGAAGCGAGGCCCCCAGUUGCAUCCACUGCCUGUCUCCGCGCGUAUGCGCUGCUCCUCUGCACGCGGCACCGAUGGUCGCCGAGGCCGGCGCCAAUGGUGGCCUUGUAGCACCCGUGGUAUUUGUCCCGCGUUGCCGCCGGUGACCGCAUCUGCAGCAGCCAAAAAGGUGGGUGGGGAGAAGAACGAGAGAGGAUAUGCAUCAUGUGUGAGAGAGAAAGGAGUGGCUGAGAAAUCUCCCCGUAUCUGGAAAUUCGCGGCCGCGGCGGCUCAGCGGGAAUCCCAGGCGUGGAAACCGUGGGUUUGCCGCCGCUGCGCUUGAGCCUGCCUUGCGUCACUCCGACGCCGGCGUCCACCCUCUCCCGGCGCUUGCCACUCCGGCCGCGCCGGCCACCCUCCCUCUCCCGGCACUCGCCUCGGCUGGGCCGGCCCCGUUCCGCCCUUCCCGCCAUGGACGGCAGUCCGCUUGCACACUCCACGACCGCGCGCCCCGUGGGGGAGCGUCCCGUGGUGUCCGGUCUUGGUCUCUCGUCCUGCUCGGAGUCGUCGGCCGCCCCGGUGGGGGCGGAGGCCUCGUCCUUGCCGCGGGCUGGGGAGGUGCCCUGGGUGCAUCCUCGCCCGUCCAGGCGCGCCAUGUGGCGUCGACGCCAUGACCCUUCUGCGCCUCCGCCGCAGGUCNNNNNNNNNNNNNNNNNNNNNNNNNNNNNNNNNNNNNNNNNNNNNNNNNNNNNNNNNNNNNNNNNNNNNNNNNNNNNNNNNNNNNNNNNNNNNNNNNNNNNNNNNNNNNNNNNNNNNNNNNNNNNNNNNNNNNNNNNNNNNNNNNNNNNNNNNNNNNNNNNNNNNNNNNNNNNNNNNNNNNNNNNNNNNNNNNNNNNNNNNNNNNNNNNNNNNNNNNNNNNNNNNNNNNNNNNNNNNNNNNNNNNNNNNNNNNNNNNNNNNNNNNNNNNNNNNNNNNNUCCAGGAUGGGCACUUCCGGAAGGACUGCACCAACGACAUCGUGUGCUUCAGAUGUGGUCUGUCUGGCCACGGCUCCAGGGACUGCAAGCGCCCCCGCAGUCCGGCGCCGCCGGAGGAGUUGAGGCGGAGGGUCGUGGCCAAGGUGUCGCGCCAGGGCGGCUGUGCUGCGCCUGCUGGCAGGGGCUCCGGUGGGCAGCCCGGAGGCCUUCCCGCGAGGCAUGGCGCGGGGUUCCCCGCUCCGCCGCCGCCUCCGCCGCCCUCCCCGCCGUCCUCUGCCCCGUCGACCUGGCCUCGCCUCCCGGCGCCGAGGCUGGUCCUUCCCCUGGAGUCGGAGUUCGAUCCUGCUGAUCUGUGCAUGGUGCGCCGUUCCCAGUCCAUGGAGGACAUGGAGCAGCGUAUGCAGCUGUCCAUGGUGGCGUACGCGGCUGGCGCGCGGCAGGAUAUCUCGCCGGAGUUCAUGUUGGAGGUCCUGCAGGCCAAGGCGGGCAUUGAGCCACAGUGGGUGUCGGUACAUCGCUUCCGGCCUGAGGAUUUCCUCAUCGUCUUCGCACGGCCCGAGCACAGGAGCCGGGUGUGCGCCAUGCCGUCUAUGGAUCAUCGUGGUGUUAGGAUGUUCUUCCGUCAGUGGAACCGGCAGGCUCAGACAGUUCACGCGGUGCUCCGGAGCAAGGUGUGGCUCGAGAUCGAGGGCGUUCCUCCCCAUGCUUGGGAGCGGGAGGUGGUGGAGCGUCUGCUGGGAUCGUCGUGCGUGGUCGAUGCAGUGGCGCCGGAGACGAGCUCCCGGGCUAACCUCUCGUCCUUCAAGCUUACGGCGUGGACGGCGGACCCGGAAACCAUCCCUACGCUCCGAUGGUUGGCGGUGCCGGAGCCUGGCCUGGGUCUGCAGCCCUCCCAGCCAGCGUUGCUGCAUUACAAGGUCCUCAUCCAUCUGGCGCAAGUUCAAGAUUUCACGGAAGCAGAGGAGCCAUGGUUCCUUGGAGGUUCUUCAUGCAGUGGGCAGAGUGGGAUGCCGGAUUCGGAUGGUAGCAUGGACGGAGGUGGUGGCGCUCCGGCUCGCCGGCGGACCUGGCAGUUCGGUGCUCGGGACGUCAGAGGUGGAGCGCAGGCGGGGCAUGGUGGUGGCCCGUCCAAGAGGGCUGGCGACGGUCGAGGGGGUGAGCCUGGCCGGAGUACGGCCGGCACGGCAUGGCGGCUGCCGGCCAUGGAGGAGUUGCCGAUGGUGGCACCGGUGGGCCAGUCGGCGCACGUCAGGGAUCGGAUUGCGGUCAGGCCCUCUGCUUUUGACCGGCUGACCAGGCUGGAGACACCAAGGCAGGAUCAGGUGGGACCCGCGGAACUUUCGUCAGAUGAUAGAGCUGUGGUGGUGGUAGUUGAUCAACGGUCUUCUCCGGCGGGCGAUGAGAUGGAGACAGGGGCCAGGGGCCUACAGGCGCAGCAGGGCCUGCACCAAUCGGCUGGCCUGGAAACGACUAGUCCAAGGCCACAGCUGGCUUCCAUGGUGGUGGGGCCGGCCGUGCAGGACCCAAUGGCACAGACGGGUGACGCCUGGGUUGGCGUGGGCCAACAGUUGGAUGCCCAGGGCGGGGAGAUCCCUAGGCCGGACUGCGAUCAGGGUGGGCCAAAGCCUAAUUGCGACGGCUAAUCGCAUGCCGUCCAGAACGGGGGGUCUCCGAGGCGGAUCCGCGUGAUGGUGGGGCCAGAGUUGGAGGGGGACAGGACCGCUGUCUCGGCUGAUAGGGGAGAUGUGGCGACGGCCGCUACGCGCCAGGCACGCCCUGCGGAGGCGGUUGCGAGGGACCCGGCUCAGGACAAUGAUUGUGGGACUCUUCCUACGAGGCUGGAGGUGGAAUAUUCUACACCUGCAUUGGAUCUUGCGAUCGUGCCAAGGACUGAUGGUAACCAUGCAUGCAUGGACACUGUUCACGUAGCGUCCGGGGAUUCCGCUGCAUGCAUGGGCGCGUCCCAACAGGAAACGGAGGGCAUGACAGCACAGGAAGUGGUGGCUUAUGGCAAGCUUAAGAGUUUCUGCACGAACAUUAUCAAGAAAUUGGCACCACCGCUGCUCCGUGAAGUCCAAGAAUCGCACCUACGAACGGAGGCGGAGCCGUUCACGCCAAAACGCACGACGCGCGCAUCCAAGAAGAUGGCAACUGCGAGCCGGUCCAAGGAUAGUCCAGUUGAGAAUGUGCUGCUGCAUGCUCUGGGUCUAGUUCCAGAUGACCUUGUGGUGGAUGAUGGGGUGGUAAAGGAGCUGAAGGCACUGUUCGAUUCCCCCCUUCGUGAGCAGCAUGUCAGGGUCAUCGCGGCUCUCUUCGGAAGACGGUGCCCAGUGAACAGGAGAUGAACGUGGAGAACGCGGUGGUGGUGUGUACGCGCUAAGCGGCCCGUGGUGGUGUUGGUGGUCGAUCCUUCAUGGAUUCACACCCACAUGUGUUGUGCUAGAAUGUACGUGGCCUCAACAAUCCAGCCAAGAGGAAGGCCGUUAGCGAGUUCAUUAGCUCAGUUAAGGUGAACUUGGUGUGUCUCCAAGAGACUAAAAUGGAUGUAAUGGAUCAGUUUACUGUGAUGCAAUGCUUGGGGCCAUCUUUUGAUGGUUUCUCCUACCUGCCGGCUGAGGAGACUAGAGGGGGAUCCUUAUCGCGUGGAACACCUCGGCUCUAUGGGUGGAUAACUUAGUCCCCAAUGCCAAUUUUAUUUUGGGGUUGGUGCAUACCAGGGAGGGACAACCUUGGUGGAUCUCGGUGGUGUAUGGACCGCAGAGUGAUGAGCUGAAGACGCAAUUCUUGGAGGAUUUGAGGGCUAGGAGGCUGUUGUGCCAAGGACCAUGGAUGAUUUUGGGGGACUUUAACAUGAUCCUUCGCGCCUCUGAGAAAAACAACUCUAACGUCAACCGGACCAUGAUGGGGAAGUUCAGGGAUUUUGUUGACGACCACGAGCUCAAGGAGAUGUACAUGCACGGCAGGAGGUUCACGUGGUCGAAUGAGCGAGACACGCCCACGUUUACUAAGAUUGACAGGAUCCUUAUAUCCGUUGAUUGGGAGUUGGAAAAUGCAGAAUACCUCCUCCAGGCGCUCUCCACGGGAGUCUCUGAUCACGCGCUGCUGUUGCUUACUACGAGUGUGGGAUUCUGCCCCAAACGCAGGUUCCGGUUUGAGCUUUUUUGGACUAGGUUGGAUGGGUUUGAGGAGGCGGUGCAGGAGGCUUGGGUGUGCGACCCCGCGAUCAUGGAUUCGUACGCCAGACUGGAUGCACUGAUGAGGAAUGCGGCUGCAUCGCUUCAGGCUUGGGGUCAGCGCAAGAUUGGUAACGUCAAACUCCUAAUGCGGGUGGCCACUUGGGUGAUUCAUAAGCUGGAUGUUGCACAAGAAUGAAGAAGGCUGGAGCUGAGAGAGAUUUGGUUGCGUCGCACGCUGAAACAAGCUCUGCUUGGCAUGGCAGCCCUGGAACGCACUAUUGACAGGCAGCGCUCGAGAAUGAGAUGGCUCAAGGAGGGUGACGCAAACUCCAAAUUGUUCCAGGCGGUGGCCAAUGGAGGCAGGUCAAAGAACUAUAUUUCGCGUAUCAGAGUUGGAGAGCAGAUCAUUGUGGAGCAAGAGAACAUGGAGGAUGCCUUCUUCCAUGCGUAUAAGCAGUUGCUUGGUACGGCCCAAGCUAGGGAGCACACCCUGGAUCUCCAAUUCAUGGGGAUCGCCCCUCACGAUCUUCAGGAGCUGGAAGCCAUGAUUACGGAGCAGGAGGUUUGCGAGACUGUAAAGGAGAUGCCACCUGACCGUGCGCCGGGGCCGGAUGGGUUCAUUGCCGCUUUCUAUCAGCGGGCCUGGCCUAUCAUCAAGCAUGAUGUUAUGGCGGUUAUGAUGAAGCUUUAUGUUGCGGAUGGUAGGGGCUUUGCUAAGCUGAACAAGGCACAUAUCGUUCUCAUUCCUAAGAAGCCAGAGGCAGAGGAGAUUGGAGACUUUCGGCCUAUUAGUCUUACACACAGCGCCCCCAAGCUAUUUGCAAAGGUUCUCGCUAACAGGCUUCGAAAAUGCAUGCCGGAGAUCGUGGGCAUGAACCAGUCGGCAUUCAUUAAAGGACGGCACCUGCACGAUAACUUCCUCCUUGUGAGGCAAGUGGCCAGGAAAAUUCACGAUCGCAGGGCGCCAGGGGUGCUCCUCAAGCUGGAUAUCUCGAGGGCCUUUGAUUCCUUAUCGUGGCCCUUCCUCUUUGAGGUCCUGGAAGCUAAAGGGUUUGGGAGAAGAUGGUUGCAAUGGUUGGCGAUUCUGCUGCACUCGGCGAGCACCAAAGUUAUUGUCAAUGGCGUGCCAGGUCGGAGGUUCUACCACGCUAAGGGUUUGCGCCAGGGCGACUCGAUCUCCCCGCUUUUGUUCGUCAUCGCCAUGGACGUGCUGACAUCGUUGGUUCAUAAGGCAAUGGAGCUUGGAGUGGUGAGCUCAUAUCGUGGGAUCUCGGCAAUGCAACGGAUCUCUAUUUACGCGGACGAUGUGGCCAUCUUCAUUAAGCCCACCACCACAGAUCUGGUGUUCAUCACCGCGGGGUUGGAGAUAUUCGGUCAGGCCUCAGGAUUGCGUGUUAACUAUCGUAAGUCGUCGGCUAUUUUGAUCUGUGGUGAUGUUGUGGACAGUGCCAGAGUGGCCAGAGUUCUACAAUGUGGCAUUACGGAGUUCCCCUGCAGGUACCUGGGGCUGCAGCUCACCAUCAGAUGCCUCACCAGAAGCGACUGGCAACCCAUGCUUGACAAAGUUAAACUUUUCGUGUCGGGCUGGCAGAGAGGGCUUAUUCAGCGCCCAGGACGGCUUAUUCUUGUGCAAUCGGUGAUCUCCGCCAAGCCAAUUCAUCACCUUAUGAUUAUGGAUGCUCCUGACUGGGUGUUUGAGGAGAUGGACAAGUGGAUGCGCUCCUUCUUCUGGGCCGGGAAGGACAAGGUGAAUGGAGGCCAAUGCCUCAUUGCUUGGAGUAAUGUAUGUCGACCCAAAUGCUAUGGUGGCCUUGGUGUGAAGAACCUCAAGCUACAAGGGCUAGCUAUGAGGGUUAGAUGGGAAUGGUUAAGACGGACAGAGCCCAACAGGCCUUGGCAGGGGCUGUCCAUGACCACGGAUCUGGAGGCUCGUGAGGUCUUUGAUAGUCUGGUGGGCAUCGAAGUGGGGAGAGGCGAUCGGGUGCUUUUUUGGAGGGAUCGUUGGAUCCACGGUUUUGCAGUUAAGCACAUUGCCCCGCUUGUGUUCGCCAUGGUGCCGACUCGAGUAAUCAACAAACACACGAUUGAGCAGGCUCUCACCGACAGCAGCUGGUUGGAGGACUGCCAGAUGGGAUUUUCUUUCAUGGCCCAGCUUCAGCUGAUGCAUCAUCCAGGCCAUUGGCACGGUACCUAGGGAUGCGGAGAGCUUGGAUGUGUUCACCUGGCCUUGUUCCAGCUCGGGCUCAUACUCUGCCAGAUCGACUUAUGCCAGACUUUGCGUGGGUCACACCAGGUCGCCCUUCGCGACAUGCGUUUGGAGGAGCUGGGCACCUCUGAAGUGCAAAAUUUUUGCCUGGCUUGCUCUGCAGCACCGCAUCUGGACCUCUGAUCGGAGGGCACGUCACGGCUUACAGGACGAAACAUCUGCUUGCUACACCUGCUUACAAGAUGAAGACAAUGCCGACCAUAUCCUAGGCGCUUGCACCUAUGCACGGGAGGUUUGGCACAGGCUCUGGGACCUUCUCGGGAUUAACGUACCAGGACACGUGGCUGGUGAAACGAUUCUAGACUGGUGGCUUAGGGCAAGGAAGGUCUUUCACUCUGCAGAUCGGAGGGGGUUUGACUCCACUUUCAUCGCGAUGAUCUGGGCGCUAUGGAAACAACGGAAUGCACGGGUCUUCAAUAGGUUAGAGCAACAACGUACCCCAACAGAGCUUGUGUUGAUGUUGCUAGAUGAGGUUGCCGAGUGGAAGGCAGCCGGGUUGGGUGUAGGAGGACUCCAACGAUUUGUGAGGAGUUAGUAUAGGGUCCUAGGCUGGUGUGGGUGUUGGUUUGUAUCUGUGCUACACGUUUGUUCACAUUCGUGGCGCACGUCAUGUAAUAAUUUCUCUCCUUCUAUAAAAAUAUGGUACGUCUUUGGCGUACUUUCAAAAAAAAAAUCUCCCCGUGAAGAGAUAAGAUAAGGUCCAGGCAAAGCGGUGGGCAGUUAUCGGAGCAAUAAGGACGGUUGAUUUGCAUCUGAUCUAACGACGCGCGCUCGGCCGGCCGAACUUUCGGCCGGCGUGCCGGUUUCAAACGUUUCCUUUUGUCGGGGAAAAAGAGUGAUCGGACAGUCAAACACGGCAGAUUGUGUGGUGUGGGAGGCGACGGAUCGGUCGACCGACGCCUAGUACCUGCCUUCGCCGAAUAGGGCGCGCAGGCGGAGGGUGUAGGGGUACAAGGCGCCGCCGGCCGAGGGCAUGCUUUGGCCCAGACCGGCGUCAGCACGGGCUCGGCCGAAGCAUCACGGGCAGCCGUCCUGCCGGCCCGCCUCCAGCCCCCGACUGAAAGACAAAGGAGUGUCCUGCUCUUCCAAGGUUCAAAUGGCAUGGUGUCACUGUCCGACUCCCGAGCCGAGACGAAGCUGCCAAGCGCCAGUUAAGGCGGAAGAAAAAGAGGCAUCCCCCGAUGCGAAUGUGCCGGCACAGGGGGAGGUCCUGCCUUCCCAGGAUACUUCGCCCCAGGUUCCACCAAUCCUCACUGUUCGCCUCCCCUUGACUCUUGAUUGAUUUUUCUCAGCUCACGAUUCGGUUCCAAGAUAGCAAUAUAGUCCAGUUGCACAUGGUGGCUUUUGUAUGAUUAGCACUGCCGCGCUGAUGCAUAUGUAUAGUUGGGGAAUUUAGUUGAAUUUCGAGAUCUUUAGCUGUUUCGUGCCUAGAACAGAACAGGGGGAGGGGGGUUUGGGGGAGAAUGUCUGGUGGGCUCAAGAACAAGAAGAAGAAGGGCCACGAGUGGGAUUUGAACGACUGGAGAUGGGACGGCAACCUCUUCCUGGCCACGCCGUCGCCAAACGCGGACGCUCCGUCAGGGUGCGGCAGCAGGGAGCUUGGGCUAGCAGAGGAGGGGGGCAGUUUUGGUGCUGCUGCUGCUGACAAGAGGAGGAGGAGGAAGAGAGUCACCACAGUGGAUAACCCCGAGGAGUGCAGCAACACUGCGAUUCUUCAUCAUGAAAGGAUUGCUGUUCGGAGAGGACAGAUGGGCGAAGAAGAGGGACCUGCCAGUGCAACAGCAGGUGCAUCUUCCAGCUCUGCUCCAUCUUGCCAAGUCGACGGCUGCCACGCGGACCUCGGCGACGAUAGGGACUACCACAGGAGGCACAAGGUGUGCGAACCGCAUACCAAGUCGACUCUUGUUCGUAUCAAAAACAUCGAGCAUCGGUUUUGCCAGCAGUGCAGCAGGUUAGUCAGCAAUUAAUUUCUUCAUGCCUAAACUUUUAAUGGUGUAAAGGGGAAGAAUCAUUUGACAUUUGUCUCUAGGUUUCACCUUGUUCAAGAAUUUGAUGAAGGGAAGAAGAGCUGCCGCUCACGUCUGGCAACACAUAAUAGAAGGAGGAGGAAAGCCCCAGCUGAGGCUGUUAAUUCCUUGGGUGAAAAUCAGUCCUUAACCAACACCUUACUCCUCUUGUUGAGACAACUCGCUGGACAAGAUUGUAAGUUUCUCGGAUCGUAUGUACGGCGCAGUGCUAUACAUUGAUUUUUACUGGUUCAUAUGCGAUCGAUCGAUCCAUGCUCAUAUAACCUCAGUGUUAUGUCUUCGCAGCUGCUGCUAGCUCAUCUGAGCAAAUCAAUGGUCCCAAUCUUUUGGUUAGUCUUUUGAAGAACCUUGCUGCUGUUGCUGGCACACAGGCAUGUCAAGAUAUGCUAAAGGAUGCAACCUCAUCAAAUGCUGGUAACUAUGUUGGGAAUCAAAGUGGACCACCAGUUCAUGCAGGUAAAUAGCCCUUUGAUUAACUGCUGCUGCUGCUGUUGCACAAGGCAAAUAAGUACACAUUCUGAAAUUAAAUGAUGUGUGGACCACUUGACAUGUGUCCUCAGAAGAGCCUCCUGUGAAAAGACGUGCGCAAAAUUUUGAUCUAAAUGAUGCUUAUGUCGAGGAAGAUGAGGUACAUUAUUUAGGUUGAUUCUCUUGGGUUUUCCUGCUGACUAAUUGCGUCUCAGCUGCAGCACCCCUGAUGCCCCAAAACAUUUGCAGAGCCGAACAGAUAAAAUUGUCUUCAAGCUUUUUGGUAAACAGCCAAAUGAUUUUCCUGCGGAUCUACGUGCACAGGUCAUUUACCAUAUGCAAAUUGGGAAUAGUGCCUCUCUUUGACAACUUUAUCUCUUCAUUUUUUUUGACUAUUUAUUUCUUCAAGUUUUUGGUUCAAAUUGUUUUUUAUUUGCAGAUCCUAAACUGGCUGUCACAUUAUCCUAGUGACAUGGAGAGCUAUAUCAGGCCUGGUUGUGUAAUUCUAACUAUUUACCUUCGUCUUCCUAACUGGAUGUGGGAUAAGGUAGCGCUGCUAAUACUAGCGUUCUAAACAUGCUUAUCUGUUACCAAGUGAAUAAACUGCUUACGAAUUCAAAUAGCAAAACCUAAAUUAUGAACCUUGGAUAGAUAAGCAUAAUCCUCACUUACUGUUAUUUUUCUUUUGUCUGAAUUCCUCUAAAGCUUAAUGUCGAUCCAGCUCCUUGGAUAGAAAAUCUCAUUAGCAUAUCCACAAAUGGUUUCUGGGAGACAGGAUGGCUGUAUGCUAGGGUGCAGGACCGCCUCACAUUAAGCUGCAAUGGUUUGUUCGCCUUAUUUCUCUCUUUAUAUUACACCCUUGUUCUUUUUCUAUUUUUAUAUGUGGUUUCCCUUUCUUUGCAGGCAGGCUUAUGUUAGUGUCUCCCUGGCAACCUGUAAUAGGUGACAAGCAUCAGAUACUGUGUGUAACUCCUAUUGCGGCUGCCUAUAAUUCGACGGCAAAGUUCUCAGUGAGAGGCUUCAACAUAGUUCAACCAACCACAAAGUAGGUACCACGCAUUAGUCUGCACUCUGCACUGACCUGACCUGGAUUUUAUCUGACUGACAAUAAUGAUGAUAUUCGUUACAGAUUACUCUGUAUAUUUGAUGGGAAAUAUUUAGUCCAAGAAGCAACACAAAAACUACAUGAUGAUACUAGGAUUCAGCAAGGCCCUAAAUGUCUGACCUUUUCUUGCUCCUUCCCUAGUACAAGUGGAAGGGGGUUCAUAGAGGUGAAUUAUCCCUUUGGUGUUCUUUCAGUUGUUUCUCUUUAUGCAUGCUCAUUUCCCUUUUUAAAUUACGUAAUUUCUUGAUUCCUUUUCCAGGUUGAAGAUUAUGAUCAGAGCAGCAUUUGCUUCCCCUUUGUUGUCGCCAAAGAAUCUAUAUGUUGUGAGAUUAGAAUGUUGGAGGAAAAACUGAAUAUAAUUGCAUUUGGUGAUGCCUUGGAAGGAAGAGAAGAUCUGAUGGCUUCUCGCAGCCAAGCCUUAAAGUUUCUACAUGAAAUAGGGUGGCUUCUCCAAAGGAGCGACACACGAGCUACAUCAUCCAAGGCUCCGCAACAACAUCAUGCGGUGGGCUUUUCUGCUGCAAGAUUUAGGUGGCUCCUGUCCUUUGCGGUUGAUCAGGAAUGGUGCGGCGUGGUAAAGAUGCUGCUGGACACCUUGUUCCAGGGCAAUAUCGAUGUCGCCUCACCAGUUGAGUUUGUCCUGGGAGAGAGCUUAGUAUUCGCAGCUGUCAACAAGCGGUCGAAGCCUUUGGUUGCCUGCCUAUUGAGAUACACAACGAAAUCUGCACCGGUGGGCGGUGGAGCCGUGGCCACACCAGCCCAGUUCUUGUUCACGCCUGACAUGAUUGGUCCAUCGGAUAUUACACCUCUCCAUGUUGCAGCUACCAUCACUAAUGCUGCUGCCGUUUUGGAUGCUCUGACUGAUGAUCCCCAACAGGUACUUGCACUGAACUCUCAUGCUAAUUUUUUUUCCUGAAUUGAUAAAUUUUCCACAGCUACAACAACAACAAAAAAAAAC
Molecule: long non-coding RNA, 40179 nt
Filed under: Triticum aestivum (bread wheat)
Lineage: Eukaryota; Viridiplantae; Streptophyta; Magnoliopsida; Poales; Poaceae
Description: long non-coding RNA (TAES_LNC015900)
Source: RNAcentral